AUACGAGGGGUGCAAGCGUUAAUCGGAAUUACUGGGCGUAAAGCGUACGUAGGCGGUUGGUUAAGUUAGAUGUGAAAGCCCCGGGCUUAACCUGGGAACUGCAUUUAAAACUGGCGAACUGGAGUUGAGUAGAGGGGAGUGGAAUUUCAGGUGUAGCGGUGAAAUGCGUAGAGAUCUGAAGGAACACCAGUGGCGAAGGCGACUCCCUGGACUCGAACUGACGCUGAGGUACGAAAGCGUGGGUAGCAAACGGGAUUAGAUACCCCAGUAGUCC
Molecule: ribosomal RNA, 274 nt
Filed under: uncultured bacterium
Lineage: Bacteria
Description: partial 16S ribosomal RNA
Rfam family: Bacterial small subunit ribosomal RNA
Source: RNAcentral